UUAACCAUCCUAACAGAGGGGAGCCAUGCACAACUAAAAUUCGUACAAGGCGCUCAUGCACGUACAAGUGAGAACGAUUACGAUUACAUUAUAACGAACACAGUUAUACCUCCAAAUCGUCCGAGAUUUGUUGCCGUUGUGGCGCUGCUGGAGGGUCUUGUUGACUUCAGCGUGAUCAAGGCCUUGCGGAGCAGCUGGUGACGCUGCUUGGACAAGAUAUUGCUCUUCCUCUGCCAUGACUCUCAACGAAAUUCGUACGGUUCGGGCCGCCCAAUUUUUGUCUUUCGGUUAGAUUUGUGUCUCCUGACGGAAUUCGCGCUAAAUGGUGCAAUUUCUGCUAGGUGUGGUCAUUUUAUACAUUGC
This is a non-coding RNA of Paramuricea clavata, 363 nucleotides long. The record is from the annotation of a GenBank genome assembly. NCBI's taxonomy places the organism in Eukaryota, Metazoa, Cnidaria, Anthozoa, Malacalcyonacea, Plexauridae.